CCUACGGGAGGCAGCAGUGGGGAAUAUUGCACAAUGGGGGAAACCCUGAUGCAGCGACGUCGCGUGAGUGAAGAAGUAACUCGUUAUGUAAAGCUCCAUCUGUAGGGAAGAAAAUGACGGUACCUGAGUAAGAAGCCCCGGCUAACUACGUGCCAGCAGCCGCGGUAAUACGUAGGGGGCAAGCGUUAUCCGGAUUUACUGGGUGUAAGGGGAGCGUAGUCGGCAGUGCAAGUCUGGAGUGAAAGGCGGGGGCUCAACCCCCGGACUGCUCUGGAAACUGUACGGCUGGAGUGCAGGAGAGGUAGGUGGAAUUCCUGGUGUAGCGGUGAAAUGCGUAGAUAUUAGGAAGAACGCCGGUUGCGAAGGCAGCUUACUGGACUGUAACUGACGUUGAGGCUCGAAAGCGUGGGGAGCAAACAGGAUUAGAUACCCUUGUAGUC
RNAcentral lists this ribosomal RNA (440 nucleotides) under uncultured bacterium. Its description in RNAcentral is "partial 16S ribosomal RNA". It matches the Rfam family "Bacterial small subunit ribosomal RNA", at positions 338 to 795 of the family's 1533-position model. The record is from RNAcentral.